UACGGGGGGAGCAAGCGUUGUUCGGAUUUACUGGGCGUAAAGGGCGCGUAGGCGGUCAGCACAAGUCAGUUGUGAAAUCUCCGGGCUUAACUCGGAAAGGUCAACUGAUACUGUGCGACUAGAGUGCAGAAGGGGCAACUGGAAUUCUCGGUGUAGCGGUGAAAUGCGUAGAUAUCGGGAGGAACAUCCGUGGCGAAGGCGGCUCACUGGUCCGGUACUGACGCUGAGGUGCGAAAGCGUGGGGAGCAAACAGG
This 254-nucleotide ribosomal RNA is filed under the name uncultured bacterium. RNAcentral's name for it is "partial 16S ribosomal RNA". It matches the Rfam family "Bacterial small subunit ribosomal RNA", at positions 524 to 776 of the family's 1533-position model. The record is from RNAcentral.